RNAcentral lists this ribosomal RNA (433 nucleotides) under uncultured bacterium. RNAcentral describes it as "partial 16S ribosomal RNA". It matches the Rfam family "Bacterial small subunit ribosomal RNA", at positions 29 to 507 of the family's 1533-position model. The record is from RNAcentral.
AACGAACGCUGGCGGCAUGCCUAACACAUGCAAGUCGAACGAUACCUUCGGGUCUAGUGGCGCACGGGUGCGUAACGCGUGGGAACCUGCCCUUAGGUUCGGACUAACUCCCCGAAAGGGGUGCUAAUACCGGAUAAUGUCUUCGGACCAAAGAUUUAUCGCCUUUGGAUGGGCCCGCGUUGGAUUAGCUAGUUGGUAGGGUAAAAGCCUACCAAGGCGACGAUCCAUAGCUGGUCUGAGAGGAUGAUCAGCCACACUGGGACUGAGACACGGCCCAGACUCCUACGGGAAGCAGCAGUGGGGAAUAUUGGACAAUGGGCGAAAGCCUGAUCCAGCAAUGCCGCGUGAGUGAUGAAGGCCUUAGGGUUGUAAAGCUCUUUUAACCGGGAUGAUAAUGACAGUACCGGGAGAAUAAGCGCCGGCUAACUCCGUG